RNAcentral lists this ribosomal RNA (292 nucleotides) under uncultured bacterium. RNAcentral describes it as "partial 16S ribosomal RNA". It matches the Rfam family "Bacterial small subunit ribosomal RNA", at positions 505 to 796 of the family's 1533-position model. The record is from RNAcentral.
GUGUCAGCAGCCGCGGUAAUACAGAGGUCCCAAGCGUUGUUCGGAUUCACUGGGCGUAAAGGGUGCGUAGGCGGUCGGGUAAGUCUAACGUGAAAUCUCCGAGCCUAACUCGGAAACUGCGUCGGAUACUAUUCGGCUAGAGGAAUGGAGGGGAGACUGGAAUUCUCGGUGUAGCAGUGAAAUGCGUAGAUAUCGAGAGGAACACCAGUGGCGAAGGCGAGUCUCUGGACAUUUCCUGACGCUGAGGCACGAAAGCCAGGGGAGCAAACGGGAUUAGAUACCCUCGUAGUCC